Molecule: ribosomal RNA, 378 nt
Filed under: Triticum aestivum (bread wheat)
Lineage: Eukaryota; Viridiplantae; Streptophyta; Magnoliopsida; Poales; Poaceae
Description: partial small subunit ribosomal RNA
Source: RNAcentral
AUGUGUCUUCCAGCUCUAGCUCGAGUGCCCUUGCAGUCAGCGAUGAGCAUGACCGGCAUCUUCAGUUCUUGCCAUCUGAUGAUCAUGUCGCUGGCGGCAGUGCUCCAGGGCAUGCGGCUUUCGUGCAGGUCGGUGAUUGAGGAUACCGUGUACGGGAGGGCUGAUGGUGUAUCGAUGGAAGAUGAAGGUUGCGAAGAUGAGUCACAAGUCCAGUCCCGUUCUUCAACCGUGGAAGAGGUGGGUACCUAUGAUCCAGAAAAUCAGAGCUACGCCGGCGGUGAUAACCAGGGGCGAACCCACGUUAUGCUUUUGAGUAUAUUCAUCGCCCACGCAAAGCAAGCUCAAUCCGAAAGUUCAAAGGCAAGAAAAUCCAUCUAA